AGACCCGAAACCCGGUGAUCUAGCCAUGGGCAGGUUGAAGGUUGGGUAACACUAACUGGAGGACCGAACCGACUAAUGUUGAAAAAUUAGCGGAUGACUUGUGGCUGGGGGUGAAAGGCCAAUCAAACCGGGAGAUAGCUGGUUCUCCCCGAAAGCUAUUUAGGUAGCGCCUCGUGAAUUCAUCUCCGGGGGUAGAGCACUGUUUCGGCAAGGGGGUCAUCCCGACUUACCAACCCGAUGCAAACUGCGAAUACCGGAGAAUGUUAUCACGGGAGACACACGGCGGGUGCUAACGUCCGUCGUGAAGAGGGAAACAACCCAGACCGCCAGCUAAGGUCCCAAAGUCAUGGUUAAGUGGGAAACGAUGUGGGAAGGCCCAGACAGCCAGGAUGUUGGCUUAGAAGCAGCCAUCAUUUAAAGAAAGCGUAAUAGCUCACUGGUCGAGUCGGCCUGCGCGGAAGAUGUAACGGGGCUAAACCAUGCACCGAAGCUGCGGCAGCGACACUGUGUGUUGUUGGGUAGGGGAGCGUUCUGUAAGCCUGUGAAGGUGUGCUGUGAGGCAUGCUGGAGGUAUCAGAAGUGCGAAUGCUG
Molecule: ribosomal RNA, 591 nt
Filed under: Escherichia coli
Lineage: Bacteria; Pseudomonadati; Pseudomonadota; Gammaproteobacteria; Enterobacterales; Enterobacteriaceae
Description: partial 23S ribosomal RNA
Rfam family: Bacterial large subunit ribosomal RNA
Source: RNAcentral